CUUCUUCAAUUUGUUGUGGGCAAAUCCAGUGAAUAUGACUAUCGAUGCCGCCUGCGGUCAAAAUCAUGCCUUCACCGGCAAUAAUUUCGGUCCCAGCCCCGAUUGGAAUCGUGACAUCCGGCUGAAUAUCCGGAUUACCUGCUUUACCAAUCGCCCAGAUAUGGCCAUCUUUAAUAGCGACAUCGGCCUUGAUGAUGCCAGUUAUCGCAUCGAUGAUUAACGCAUUGGUUAUAACGGUAUCGGCGACUUCUGCAGCAGGCAAUUGUGACUGUCCCAUGCCAUCGCGAAUG
This 290-nucleotide small RNA is filed under the name Methylophaga frappieri. RNAcentral's name for it is "Methylophaga sp. JAM7 5' ureB small RNA". It matches the Rfam family "5' ureB small RNA". Lineage: Bacteria; Pseudomonadati; Pseudomonadota; Gammaproteobacteria; Thiotrichales; Piscirickettsiaceae. The record is from Rfam by way of RNAcentral.